Molecule: transfer RNA, 76 nt
Filed under: Prevotella sp.
Lineage: Bacteria; Pseudomonadati; Bacteroidota; Bacteroidia; Bacteroidales; Prevotellaceae
Description: tRNA-OTHER
Rfam family: tRNA
About the family: Transfer RNA (tRNA) molecules are approximately 80 nucleotides in length. Their secondary structure includes four short double-helical elements and three loops (D, anti-codon, and T loops).
Source: RNAcentral
GAGAGGCUAGCUCAAUGGUAGAGCGCCUUGGAGGAAUCCAAGGAGAUUACGGGUUCGAGUCCCGUGCCUUUUACCA